RNAcentral lists this ribosomal RNA (2909 nucleotides) under Lactiplantibacillus plantarum. RNAcentral's name for it is "bacterial LSU rRNA". It matches the Rfam family "Bacterial large subunit ribosomal RNA". Lineage: Bacteria; Bacillati; Bacillota; Bacilli; Lactobacillales; Lactobacillaceae. The record is from RNAcentral.
ACAAGGGCGCAUGGUGAAUGCCUUGGCACUAGGAGCCGAUGAAGGACGGGACUAACACCGAUAUGCUUCGGGGAGCUGUACGUAAGCUAUGAUCCGGAGAUUUCCGAAUGGGGCAACCCAGCAGUUUUAAUCAACUGUUACCACUAGAUGAAUUCAUAGUCUAGUUGGAGGUAAACGCUGUGAACUGAAACAUCUCAUUAGCAGCAGGAAUAUAAAGAAAUUUCGAUUCCCUAAGUAGCGGCGAGCGAACGGGGAACAGCCCAAACCAAAGUGCUUGCACUUUGGGGUUGUAGGACUGAACAUUUGAGUUACCAAAGAACUUGAUAGUCGAAGGAUUUGGGAAAAUCCGCCAUAGAUGGUGAUAGCCCAGUAGAUUAAAUCAAAUUCUCUCAGUUCAGGAUCCUGAGUACGGCGGAACACGUGAAAUUCCGUCGGAAUCCGGGAGGACCAUCUCCCAAGGCUAAAUACUACCUAGUGACCGAUAGUGAACCAGUACCGUGAGGGAAAGGUGAAAAGCACCCCGGGAGGGGAGUGAAAUAGUUCCUGAAACCAUGUGCCUACAAUAAGUCAGAGCGCGUUAAUGCGUGAUGGCGUGCCUUUUGUAGAAUGAACCGGCGAGUUAUGAUCCCGUGCAAGGUUAAGACUAAAAAGUCGGAGCCGUAGCGAAAGCGAGUCUGAAAUGGGCGUUUUGAGUACGAGGUUAUAGACCCGAAACCAGGUGACCUAUCCAUGUCCAGGUUGAAGGUGCGGUAAAACGCACUGGAGGACCGAACCCGUGUAAGUUGAAAAUUGCUGGGAUGAGGUGUGGAUAGCGGUGAAAUUCCAAACGAACUUGGAGAUAGCUGGUUCUCUCCGAAAUAGCUUUAGGGCUAGCCUCGGAAUUAGGAUCAUGGAGGUAGAGCACUAUUUGGACUAGGGGCCCGUCUUGGGUUACUGAAUUCAGAUAAACUCCGAAUGCCAUUGAUUCAUAUCCGGGAGUCAGACGAUGAGUGAUAAGAUCCACCGUCGAAAGGGGAACAGCCCAGACCAUCAGUUAAGGUCCCUAAAUGUAUGCUAAGUGGAAAAGGAUGUGGAGUUGCAUAGACAACUAGGAUGUUGGCUCAGAAGCAGCCACCAUUUAAAGAGUGCGUAAUAGCUCACUAGUCGAGUGAUCCUGCGCCGAAAAUGUACCGGGGCUAAGCAUACUACCGAAACCAUGGAUGCGACCAUUAGGUCGCGUGAUAGGAGAGCGUUCUAAGGGCGGUGAAGCAAGAUCGUGAGGACUUGUGGAGCGCUUAGAAGUGAGAAUGCCGGUAUGAGUAGCGAAAGAUAGGUGAGAAUCCUAUCCACCGAAUGACUAAGGUUUCCUGGGGAAGGCUCGUCCUCCCAGGGUUAGUCGGGACCUAAGUCGAGGCCGAGAGGCGUAGACGAUGGAUAACAGGUUGAGAUUCCUGUACUAGUUAAGUGCGUUUGAGCAAUGGAGGGACGCAGGAGGCUAAGAUGUGCAUUCUGUUGGAUUAGAAUGUCCAAGCAGUAAGUCUUGUGAAGAGUCAAAUGCUUUUCACUUUAAGGACAAGCUGUGAUGGGGAGCGAAAUUUAGUAGCGAAGCGUCUGAUGUCACACUGCCGAGAAAAGCUUCUAGUGAGUACUUAACUACCCGUACCGCAAACCGACACAGGUAGUCGAGGAGAGAAUCCUAAGGUGAGCGAGUGAACUCUCGUUAAGGAACUCGGCAAAAUGACCCCGUAACUUCGGGAGAAGGGGUGCUGAUCGCAAGAUCAGCCGCAGUGAAUAGGCCCAGGCGACUGUUUAUCAAAAACACAGGUCUCUGCAAAAUCGUAAGAUGACGUAUAGGGGCUGACGCCUGCCCGGUGCUGGAAGGUUAAAAGGAUGGGUUAGCUUCGGCGAAGCUCAGAAUUGAAGCCCCAGUAAACGGCGGCCGUAACUAUAACGGUCCUAAGGUAGCGAAAUUCCUUGUCGGGUAAGUUCCGACCCGCACGAAAGGCGUAACGAUCUGGGCACUGUCUCAACGAGAGACUCGGUGAAAUUAUAUUGUCCGUGAAGAUGCGGACUACCCGCGACAGGACGGAAAGACCCCAUGGAGCUUUACUGUAGCUUGAUAUUGAGUGUUUGUACAGCUUGUACAGGAUAGGUAGGAGCCAUAGAAACCGGAACGCUAGUUUCGGUGGAGGCGUUGGUGGGAUACUACCCUCGCUGUAUGACCACUCUAACCCGCACCACUAAUCGUGGUGGGAGACAGUGUCAGGUGGGCAGUUUGACUGGGGCGGUCGCCUCCUAAAAAGUAACGGAGGCGCCCAAAGGUUCCCUCAGAAUGGUUGGAAAUCAUUCGCAGAGUGUAAAGGCACAAGGGAGCUUGACUGCGAGACAGACAGGUCGAGCAGGGACGAAAGUCGGGCUUAGUGAUCCGGUGGUACCGUAUGGAAGGGCCAUCGCUCAACGGAUAAAAGCUACCCUGGGGAUAACAGGCUUAUCUCCCCCAAGAGUCCACAUCGACGGGGAGGUUUGGCACCUCGAUGUCGGCUCAUCGCAUCCUGGGGCUGUAGUCGGUCCCAAGGGUUGGGCUGUUCGCCCAUUAAAGCGGUACGCGAGCUGGGUUCAGAACGUCGUGAGACAGUUCGGUCCCUAUCCGUCGCGGGCGUAGGAAAUUUGAGAGGACCUGUCCUUAGUACGAGAGGACCGGGAUGGACAUACCUCUGGUGUACCAGUUGUGCCGCCAGGCGCAUCGCUGGGUAGCUACGUAUGGAUGUGAUAAACGCUGAAAGCAUCUAAGUGUGAAACACACCUCGAGAUGAGAUUUCCCAUUCCUUUAUGGAAGUAAGACCCCUGAAAGAUGAUCAGGUAGAUAGGUUAGAAGUGGCAGUGCGGUGACGCAUGAAGCGGACUAAUACUAAUCGGUCGAGGACUUAACC